GCUCCGUAGGUGAACCUGCGGAGGGAUCAUUACAGAGUUCUCGCCCUCGCGGGUAGAUCUCCCACCCACUGCUAUCGUUACUGUGUUGCUUUGGCGGGCCGCCGGGCCCCGCUCGGCCGCCGGCUCCGGCUGGCGCGCGCCCGCCAGAGGCCCAGCAAACUCUGAAUGUUAGUGUCGUCUGAGUACUAUAUAAUAGUUAAAACUUUCAACAACGGAUCUCUUGGUUCUG
This 229-nucleotide unclassified non-coding RNA is filed under the name plant metagenome. RNAcentral describes it as "partial contains small subunit ribosomal RNA, internal transcribed spacer 1, and 5.8S ribosomal RNA". The record is from RNAcentral.